Molecule: unclassified non-coding RNA, 329 nt
Filed under: soil metagenome
Description: partial contains 5.8S ribosomal RNA, internal transcribed spacer 2, and large subunit ribosomal RNA
Rfam family: 5.8S ribosomal RNA (bases 1-120)
Source: RNAcentral
GAUGAAGAACGCAGUGAAAUGCGAUAAGUAGUGUGAAUUGCAGAAUUCAGUGAAUCAUCGAAUCUUUGAACGCACAUUGCGCCCCUUGGUAUCCCGAGGGGCAUGCCUGUUCGAGCGUCAUUUCACCACUCAAGCCUGGCUUGGUGUUGGGCGACGUCCUCUUUGGGGACGCGCCUCGAAACGCUCGGCGGCGUGGCACCGACUUUAAGCGUAGCAGAAUCUUUCGCUUUGGAAGUCGGGGCCCCGUCUGCCGGAAGACCUGCUCGCAAGGUUGACCUCGGAUCAGGCAGGGAUACCCGCUGAACUUAAGCAUAUCAAUAAGCGGAGGA